RNAcentral lists this ribosomal RNA (492 nucleotides) under uncultured bacterium. RNAcentral describes it as "partial 16S ribosomal RNA". It matches the Rfam family "Bacterial small subunit ribosomal RNA", at positions 29 to 507 of the family's 1533-position model. The record is from RNAcentral.
AGUGAACGCUGGCGGUAGGCCUAACACAUGCAAGUCGAACGGCAGCACAGUAAGAGCUUGCUCUUACGGGUGGCGAGUGGCGGACGGGUGAGGAAUACAUCGGAAUCUACUUUUUCGUGGGGGAUAACGUAAGGAAACUUACGCUAAUACCGCAUACGACCUACGGGUGAAAGCAGGGGAUCUUCGGACCUUGCGCGAUUGAAUGAGCCGAUGUCGGAUUAGCUAGUUGGCGGGGUAAAGGCCCACCAAGGCGACGAUCCGUAGCUGGUCUGAGAGGAUGAACAGCCACACUGGAACUGAGACACGGUCCAGACUCCUACGGGAGGCAGCAGUGGGGAAUAUUGGACAAUGGGCGCAAGCCUGAUCCAGCCAUACCGCGUGGGUGAAGAAGGCCUUCGGGUUGUAAAGCCCUUUUGUUGGGAAAGAAAAGCAGCAGGUUAAUACCCCGCUGUUCUGACGGUACCCAAAGAAUAAGCACCGGCUAACUUCGUG